UGUGGUGAUGAGGGCAAGAAGGAUACACCUGUAACCAUGCCGAACACAGAAGUUAAGCUUCUUAGCGCCGAUGGUAGUGGGGACUUUGUUCCUGUGAGAGUAGGUCGUUGCCACGC
Facklamia hominis is the source of this 116-nucleotide ribosomal RNA. The record is from Rfam. NCBI's taxonomy places the organism in Bacteria, Bacillati, Bacillota, Bacilli, Lactobacillales, Aerococcaceae.